UACGUAGGUGGCGAGCGUUGUCCGGAUUUACUGGGCGUAAAGAGCGCGCAGGCGGUCGUGCAAGUCGCGUGUGAAAGCCCCCGGCUCAACUGGGGAGGGUCACGCGAUACUGCUCGACUCGAAGGCAGGAGAGGGAAGUGGAAUUCCCGGUGUAGUGGUGAAAUGCGUAGAUAUCGGGAGGAACACCAGUGGCGAAGGCGACUUCCUGGCCUGUUCUUGACGCUGAGGCGCGAAAGCUAGGGGAGCAAACGGGG
RNAcentral lists this ribosomal RNA (254 nucleotides) under uncultured bacterium. Its description in RNAcentral is "partial 16S ribosomal RNA". It matches the Rfam family "Bacterial small subunit ribosomal RNA", at positions 524 to 777 of the family's 1533-position model. The record is from RNAcentral.